GUAAUCAGGUCACCUGUCGCGUCUUGCGCUCUGUUUGCAGUGAUCAAUCUAUCCGUUGCUGCGUCGCGUUACUUUCUUCAAAAAAACGAAACAUCUCCCAAACCGUUUAUCACUAAUGUCUCAAUAUACGGUGAACCGCGAGGUCACAAACACUUUUCGAAGUAAAACGAACCACAAGAUCUGGAGCAGCUGUGAACCGCGAGGUCACGAACACUUUUCGAAGUAAAACGGACCGCAAGAUCUGGAGCAGCUGUCAAGAAGAAUAAACAGAUUCUGUGAGUAUCCCAAUUGAACCAUGAAGAAGAAACUGCGAACUGUAAGUCCAGAUUUUUCCUUUUUGGGGCAUCAUUUUGGCCCCCUGUUUGGUCUGGUUGGUCAGGGUCGAUGGGUGAAGAUUGAUAUAGUUAAAAGUAGUGCAGUAUAGGUUCUAAGUGAAUGGUGUACCACUAGUUGGAUCUCUAUGGGUAGAGCUAUAAACAUACUCCAGGGUUGUGUUCAGACUUUCUUCUGCCCACUUCGCCACUACUUCCCUGAACCUUGCAUCACUUUACGUGUGUGGUGUCUUACUGAUGCGGGUCUGGUCUGAGCGAUUAGAGAUGCAUGCUAGGGUACUGUGCUGUCUGAAGUCUACAGUUCUGUAGACGUGCCCUCUCAGAGGAAACCAAGUGUUUAAGAGGCCGUCGUAACGUCGGUUACGUGAAGGGGAAAGUCUAUCAAGAUGGUGAUGGGACUCCCCUGAGGAGAAACGCACGGGGCAAGAUGUGAGGGCUCCUCCUCUCAGCAACUAGAACACAGCCUGGUUCCUGCACCGGAGAACCAUGGAGCACAUUUCAACGUUCUCCUCCAUACAUCUUGAAGCCGUAGCGACGGUUUCUCUACCUCCACAGCUGGAGGAGAGCACAAUCGCAGCUCAGGAUGGGUCCUUGUUGGGGUCUUUCCAGGUUGUUUUCUGGUUUGAGGGGACCCAUCUUCCAGGCCCAGCUGGCCUCGCCCAUUACUCUGCAGUACAGCCCUGAGAAAGACUUGCAUCUGAGCCAGCAGAGGGCUCAUCGGCCUGCUGCUCAGAUGGGAUGAAGAGGAUCCUGCUGUUCAACACCCACCACCCCUCCACUGGGUGGGCCUUCUCAACAGACCACCUACCUCACCCCUUCCAUCAAAUCCUGUCCCCGUCCUCGGGCUCAUUAAGCGGCACCAUUUGAAUCUGAGCAUCACUGCGGACAGUACAGAACAAUGUUUAACGAUGAGUAUGAUAACGGGUAGCUGCAGCAUCACCAAGGAGAUUACGCACAGACGCCUGAGAUGGCUGGGACAUGUGUUGAGGAUGGAGCCGGACCGCAUCUCGAAGGUCGCCUUAAGAUGGACACCACCAGGCAAAAGAAAACCUGGGAGGCCAAAAACCACCUGGCGCAGAACUGUGACACAAGAGCCGGAACAGAUGAACCUGUCGUGGGGAGAGGCCCAACAUACUGCCAGGGACCGAGUGGAAUGGUGAGGGCUCAUUGAGGCCUUAUGUCCCUUAGGGGACGAAGAGUAGUAGCAUGAUAACGGGUACGGCUUGGCUCAGAGGUAGCGCGGGGUGACUUGUAACCCGAACUGUGUUAAACGCCAAAUGUCCUAAAUGUAAACAGUAGUUUGUCUAUACUACUUGUUAAUGAAGUCUUUAAUUUGUAUUUCUUUCACACAUGUGUGCGCCUGGUCAGAGUUUGACCAUGCAUGGGGUUCAUAUGUCAGAUUUUAACAUGCAAAUGGUUCUUCAUGUGCGGGUGGUCAGCUUUUAACCUGACAAAUGGUUCUUUGUGUGAGUGGUCAGCUUUUAACCUGGCAAAUGGUUCUUUGUGUGAGUGGUCAGCUUUUAACCUGGCAAAUGGUUUUGUGUGAGUGGUCAGCUUUUAACCUGGCAAAUGGUUUUGUGUGAGUGGUCAGCUUUUAACCUGGCAAAUGGUUCAUGUGAGUGGUCAGCUUUUAACCUGACAAAUGGUUCUUUGUGUGAGUGGUCAGCUUUUAACCUGGCAAAUGGUUCAUGUGAGUGGUCAGCUUUUAACCUGGCAAAUGGUUCUUUGUGUGAGUAGUCAGCUUUUAACCUGGCAAAUGGUUCUUUGUGUGAGUGGUCAGCUUUUAACCUGGCAAAUGGUGUGAGUGGUCAGCUUUUAACCUGACAAAUGGUUCUUCGUGUGAGUGGUCAGCUUUUAACCUGGCAAAUGGUUCAUGUGAGUGGUCAGCUUUUAACCUGGCAAAUGGUUCAUGUGAGUGGUCAGCUUUUAACCUGGCAAAUGGUUCAUGUGAGUGGUCAGCUUUUAACCUGGCAAAUGGUUCUUUGUGUGAGUGGUCAGCUUUUAACCUGGCAAAUGGUUCUUUGUGUGAGUGGUCAGCUUUUAACCUGGCAAAUGGUUCUUUGUGUGAGUGGUCAGCUUUUAACCUGGCAAAUGGUUCAUGUGAGUGGUCAGCUUUUAACCUGGCAAAUGGUUCUUCGUGUGAGUGGUCAGCUUUUAACCUGGCAAAUGGUUCUUCGUGUGAGUGGUCAGCUUUUAACCUGGCAAAUGGUUCAUGUGAGUGGUCAGCUUUUAACCUGGCAAAUGGUUCAUGUGAGUGGUCAGCUUUUAACCUGGCAAAUGGUUCAUGUGAGUGGUCAGCUUUUAACCUGGCAAAUGGUUCAUGUGAGUGGUCAGCUUUUAACCUGGCAAAUGGUUCUACAUGUGAGCCUGGUCAGCUUUUAACCGGCAUGGGGUUCUACAUGUGUGAGCGUGGCCAGGGUUCUGGUCCCCUCAAGAUUUAAACUGUUGCUUUAGGUGGAGGCCCAUUAUAUGUUUUGACUUUUCAGCUACGUUUCUGGAUGAGUUCAGCCCGACCAAAUCACCACGGAAACAAAGUGAGUGGUACAGACACUGACUGAUUUAACGCCAACAGGUUCAGAUCGUCACGACAAACAAGGUCUACGAUAGGAAGGAGCAAUGGAUGCCUGAAACAAUGGAUGAUGGCCUCCGGAUGGACAGAAGUUUGGAAAUGUUCCAAAAGAUCUUUGGAAAUGGUUACUUAAGCGAGUCGGCGACGUGGCUGCCCUUCCUAACCCCGGAGGACGAUGGCUGGCGGGCCCUGUGGAUCAAGACUUCUGUGCUGUGAUGAAAGCCUAGCUCAGGCCGAGGUAUAAUUUAUAGGUCCACUUGAUUCAGAAACCAACCUUGGAAACAUCCCAAUCCAUUGUCCUCUUCAAGCUGCAGUUAUGCUGUUCUCCAGAGGAGGAGGUAAAGAAACCCUAACUGGGGCUUCAAGAUCUAUGAAGAGGAACAUUGAAAUCUGCUCCAUGGUUCUCUCAAGUAGGAGCUAUGUUGUGUUCUACUCGCUAACUGUUGGAGCCCUCCCAUCCUACCCUUGGUGUCUCUCUUUGGGGAGUCCCUGUCACGGUCCUGAAGGAUGUUCCAGUUUGUGUAACUGAUGUUACGACAGCCUUUGAACACUUGGUUUCUUCUGAGGGGGUACAUCUACAGAACUGUGGUCUUCAGACGGCAUAUUAUCCUACCAUGCAUCUCUGGUCACCAAGACCACACCCAGAUCAGUAAGGCAACAAUCAUGCAAUGGGAAUGCAACGUUUGGAGAGUAGCAAGGAAGUGGACAAAAGGUGUAAGCAUCUCAAGUCUGUAGCUCUGUUAAGGGGAGGGGAGAUUAAUGGUUUAUUUUAGCACGUUGUUUCUCUAAAAAAUACACUUUAUAACUGUAAAUAUCUAGAUAAUUUACAAAAGUGGUCUGAGAUAAGGGAUGUCAGUUAAAGAUAUUCGGGUUAACUGUGGUUACCAAACAUGAUGGUUAUACGUUUAUUGUACAGUUCUAAGCCUUGUUUAUUGUUAAUCAAUUUGUUAGAUGGGCGGAACUGUGUAGUUAAAAUUACUAGUUCUGUACAUAAACCAACAGCAACAAACUACUAGAUCGACUCAAGGUAAGUCUGUUGGCUGUAUUGUGAGAUGAGACGAUGGACCCCAAGUUCUUCAUCCUCGUUCAGCUCAAGGUGAGGUGCUGGUUACGUUACUUAUUUCUGGUUAGGUUUUAGUGUUGGUAUUCCAGUUGGAAUAUCAUUCAUCACUAAUGACUUUACACUAUUGGGUCAUCUGGCAGUACGAGUAGGAUUGGCAUUUGCGUAACCUCAUCACUAACGAGGGUACCCUAUUGGGUCAUCUGGCAGUACGAUCAGGAUUGGCAUUUGCGUAACCUCAUCACUAAUGUGUUUACACUAUUGAGUACUGGCAGUACCCGAUUUCCACCGGUAACCAUCUGGCAAAUUUGUCUUGUGCUUUAGGUAAGACAUAAUUCUAAAACAUAACAUUAGUUGCUGAAUUGUUGUGCGUUUAUCUCCAAAUUUUACCUACGACUUGGCUAACUGCGCUGUACUUAAGUCAACUGACUCUCACUGCGUACCGAACUCCAUUCUUGCGCGCACAUUUUUGAGUCGCGAAUAAGAUCGGAGACAAUUUGGCAUUUUCAUACUACGGAGUACGAUCGUCCCAGCAGCUGAAUGUGGCAAAGUAUAAUUUUAUUAUUAAAUUAACUAUUGAUACUGCUAGUGAGGUAAAUAUCUGGGCUGUAAGUUUCAGUUAAACUCUACCAAAAUGCAUGGAAUUACUUUUUUAUUAUUUUUUUGUGGUGAAUAGUUAGGUAACCUUAUGAAAUUAAUCGGCAGCUAAAAUCAUGGAACCAUGUCCCACAUGCUUACACAGUAAUAUGGACUAGAUAACUGUACAGAGCUGAACUUGGUACUGUAUUUUGUGUCCCCAGGUGUCUGCCUCCACACCUCCCUGCUGUCACCACUGGUCUAAGAAGUCCAUAACGGUUAGUGUGGGAGGCGCAGCUCCAGUACUUGCUUUCUUGAACCUGUGUGAUGCACAAGAUGUUGAUCCAACCGCACAGUGAGCUCUGCAGGGUGGUCAGGACGGCUGUAGACGUGGAGCACGGGGCGGGGAGCCAGGCUCACCAGUGAUCUCCUGGGCGAGGCGUGUGGCGCCAGGAGGGACCGAGGCUGACCACCAAGCUGCUCUGAAACGCCCAAGGCCAGGCAGUAUUUUAGUUCUUAGUUUUUUCUUAAUAGUAGUAGUUCUGAUUUUCAUUCUGUGACAUUUUGCCAAAGCUGUGAUUUGAGAUAAUAUCUUGGGUCAUCCUAGUAGUUGGCUGUUUUUGCCCCUAUUGCUGCUCCUGCUACUAUAGUUUAUACAUUACUCAAUAAGUUUAAAUGUAAACUUAAGAGUUUGAUAUUUGUUACCGCUUUACAAGUGCAAGGGUGUUUGUUACCAGAUGUUAGACGAGCUACCACAGUUGUUACCAGACAUGGAGGUGAAACCACCUGUUUGUCACCAGACAUGGAGGUGAAACCACCUGUCUGUCACCAGACAUGGAGGUGAAACCACCUGUCUGUCACCAGACAUGGAGGUGAAACCACCUGUUUGUCACCAGACAUUGAGGUGAAACCACCUGUUUGUUACCAGACAUGGAGGUGAAACCACCUGUUUGUCACCAGACAUGGAGGUGAAACCACCUGUUUGUCACCAGACAUGGAGGUGAAACCACCUGUUUGUUGUCCAGAAUAGGACCCGUGGUGGAGGGCAGCUAGUGGGGAGCAGUGCUGGAGGACCUGCUGGGAAGGACAUCCCUCGUUGGGGUAAAGACACCCGUCUCUGAGAUGUGAAGGCUGCAGAGGACCCACCAGGAUCCCCUUGGAGGACAACCAUUGGACUACGUGAGGUCUUUGGAAGCACUACAGUUCAGAAUGACUUCCAAAGAAUGAAGCCCACCCCCCAUGGCUCAGCUAGUGGCGUUCACCGGACCAGGAACCCCGAGACCUGAAGGAGGAGCCGUGCAUCUGGAGGAACACCAUGAGGCUACCCGCCAAGUAUUACUCACUUCCACGAGGAGGGGGGCUGACGGCUGGAGGACCUGCCUACUGGUGGGGCGAGUGACACCCGGCUCUACAGGGAUGACCACCCAGGAGAGAGAGCGGAAGCCGUGCAUCCUGAAGGGGAAUCAGUGACAGUGAUCCAUGUCAUCUAUUUCUGCAAGGCGCGGUUGAAGUGCUGUGUUCAGUCUGGGAAGGACACACCUGAGCUGUUUCACCCUGAGCUGCUCCACACCUGCAUCUCUAACCAGCUGAAGCCCUUCAGUGACCAACAAAAGGUGCCUCAUCACAGCUUAUCAUCGCUGGCCUGUGGAUUCAUCUGCUACACUCACACAACGUGACUUUGUCACCAUCUGCUGCACGUUGGGAUGCUAACGUGUUCCACCAGGGGUUCCUUCCUUCCCGCAGUGGGAGUGUUCCUUGUCCUUCAAGGAGUUAGGGUUCAGUGUUAGGGACAGAGUUAGGGAGAGAUGGUUGAGUCCUGGCUGGUUUACGAUGAACUGCUCUAACGCUUUGGCAAAAUGUUUCAAUGUGCAAACACUCACAUACACACAUGUAUAAUGUGUAUAAUUACAUGUAUAAUAAGUGUUUAUGAAAUAAAUUCUGUUAUAAUUCUGCAUGUUUGUGUAGGGGUUUUAUU
Long non-coding RNA from Gadus chalcogrammus (walleye pollock), 6512 nucleotides. RefSeq lists it as uncharacterized. The transcript has 12 exons. The record is from RefSeq and is a predicted model, not a curated record. Lineage: Eukaryota; Metazoa; Chordata; Actinopteri; Gadiformes; Gadidae.